RNAcentral lists this ribosomal RNA (1503 nucleotides) under human gut metagenome. Its description in RNAcentral is "bacterial LSU rRNA". It matches the Rfam family "Bacterial large subunit ribosomal RNA", at positions 487 to 2004 of the family's 2925-position model. The record is from RNAcentral.
AUAGCGUAUAGUACCGUGAGGGAAAGGUGAAAAGAACCCCGGGAGGGGAGUGAAAUAGAACCUGAAACCGUGUGCCUACAACCGGUCAAAGCCCCUUAUGAGGGUGAUGACGUGCUUUUUGUAGAACGAGCCAACGAGUUACGGUAUGUAGCAAGGUUAAGUACUUAAGGUACGGAGCCGAAGGGAAACCGAGUCUUAAUAGGGCGACUAGUUGCAUGCCGUAGACCCGAAACCGGGUGACCUAUCCAUGGCCAGGUUGAAGCGAGGGUAAAACUUCGUGGAGGACCGAACCACGUUGCUGUUGAAAAAGCAUGGGAUGAGCUGUGGAUAGCGGAGAAAUUCCAAUCGAACUCGGAGAUAGCUGGUUCUCCCCGAAAUAGCUUUAGGGCUAGCGUCGGAUAUGUGUAGUGGAGGUAGAGCACUGAAUGGGCUAGGGGGCAUAUCGCUUACCGAACCUUAUCAAACUCCGAAUGCCAUAUACAUUAAGUCCGGCAGUCAGACUACGAAUGAUAAGAUCCGUGGUCAAAAGGGAAACAGCCCAGACCGUCAGCUAAGGUCCCAAAGUGUAAGUUAAGUGGAAAAGGAUGUGGGAUUUCAAAGACAACUAGGAUGUUGGCUUAGAAGCAGCCACUCAUUUAAAGAGUGCGUAAUAGCUCACUAGUCGAGAGAUCCUGCGCCGAAAAUGUACCGGGGCUAAACUUACCACCGAAGCUACGGAUUUGCAAGUAAUUGCAAGUGGUAGGGGAGCGUCGUAAUCGGGCUGAAGUCGUACCGGAAGGAGCGGUGGACUGAUUACGAGUGAGAAUGUUGGCAUUAGUAGCGAGAUGUAGGUGAGAAUCCUACAGGCCGAAUAUCUAAGGUUUCCUCAGGAAGGCUCGUCCGCUGAGGGUUAGUCGGGACCUAAGCCGAGGCCGAAAGGCGUAGGCGAUGGACAAUCGGUUGAUAUUCCGAUACCACUACCAUCGUUAUUAUCGAGGGUGUGACGGAGAAGGAUAGUGUGUGCUAGCGAUUGGAAAUGCUAGUCUAAGCGUUUAGGGAGUUACGGUAGGCAAAUCCGCUGUAACAAUUCUGAGGCGUGAUGGGGAAGGUCAUUAAGACCGAAGUACAUGAUUCCAUGCUUCCAAGAAAAGCAUCUAGAGAGAGAAGUAGUGCCCGUACCGCAAACCGACACAGGUAGAUGAGGAGAGAAUCCUAAGGCCGGCGGAAGAAUUGCAGUUAAGGAACUAGGCAAAUUGACCCCGUAAGUUCGCGAGAAGGGGUGCCUGCGAGAGCAGGCCGCAGAGAAUAGGCCCAAGCAACUGUUUAGCAAAAACACAGGUCUCUGCUAAAGCGUAAGCUGAUGUAUAGGGGCUGACGCCUGCCCGGUGCUGGAAGGUUAAGGGGAACACUUAGCGCAAGCGAAGGUGUGAACUUAAGCCCCAGUAAACGGCGGCCGUAACUAUAACGGUCCUAAGGUAGCGAAAUUCCUUGUCAGGUAAGUUCUGACCCGCACGAAAGGCGUAA